CUUUGUACUAAAGUUGCCUGAAGCGUUUUUGCCAACUUUGCUGAAAUAGGCCUACCUCUUCCUGGUUUGACCUUCUAAUGUGGCCAGCAGUUUUUUCUUGCUUGCCCCUUGGCUUUUGGACAUGGAAGAUAAGGAUGGUCAAAAAUAAUAUGUGGAAAGAAAAAUAUUGGAACUGGUCUCCCAAUGUGGAAGGUCACUAUCAUGACUCAUGAACUGAAGACCUGGUGAUGUCCGCAGGUUUUUGAGUAAUUACAUUGGAAUAUCGCUGAUUUCUGGGCCUGAAUAUAUUGCACAAGAUUUCCCUAGCCUAAAAUGAUACAUUUUAAUAUAUUGGGUUUAUGGUUCCCGUCCCCUUGAUCUGGUCAUGUAAGUGUUAUUUAUUGCUAUAAUUGUAUUAUUUGCUUAAUAAUGUGUUAUUACGUUGUUAUGUAAUGUUUGUGUUGUUUUUAUGACUGGAAACCGCCCUGAGUCCCAUCUGGGAGAUAGGGCGGUAUAUAAAUAAAGUUUUAUUAUUAUUAUUAUUAUUAUUAUUAUUAUUAUUAUUAUUUUAUUAUGACACAGCAAACAAGUCGAACACUUCCCAAGUGUCUAGGACUGUGUGAUGUAUUUUCGGAUGAUGCGUGCAGAUCCCAGUUGGGUGGCCUUUUCAGUUGGCAGAUCGUGAUUUUGUCAAUGUCUAUUGUUUCCAAAUGCCGGCUGAGAUCUUUUGGCAUGGCACCCAGUGUGCCGAUCACCACCAGGACCACCUGCACUGGUUUCUGCCAGAGUCUUUGAAGUUCAAUCUUGAGGUCCUGAUAGCAGCUGAGUUUUUCCUGUUGUUUUUUGUCAAUGCGACUGUCACCUGGGAUGGCGAUAUCAAUGAUCCAAACCUUUUUCUUUUCCACAACUGUGAUGUCUGGUGUGUUGUGUUCCAGAACUUUGUCAGUCUGGAUUCGGAAGUCCCACAGUAUCUUUACAGUAUAUUAUUAUUAUUAUUAUUAUUAUUAUUAUUAUUAUUAUUAUUACUAUUACUAUUAUUAUUAUUUUAUUGUAUGACACAGCAAACAAGAUAGACAUGCUGGAUUUCAUAUCACAAAAUCACAAGUCGAACACUUCCCAAGCGUUUAGGACUGUGUGAUGUAUUUUCGGAUGAUGCGUGCAGAUCCCAGUAGGGUGGCCUUUUGCAGUUGACAGAUUGUAAUUUUGUCAAAGUCUAUUGUUUCCAAAUGCCGGCUGAGAUCUUUUGGCACGGCACCCAGUGUUGUUGUUGUUGUUGUUGUUGUUGUUAUUAUUAUUAUUAUUAUUAUUAUUAUUAUUAUUAUUAUUAUUAUUAUUAACUGCAUUUCUAUACCACUUUUCUCACCCCUGGGGGGACUCAAAGCGGUUUACAGCAUAAUAAAUGGCAAAAUUCAAUGCCUCACAUAUGUAUAAAAAUACAUCGCAUAUCUAAAUUAAAAAUAUAUAACUGUAGAUUAAACCAUUGAAACUAUAAAAAUAUCAAACAUAGACAUACAUAUGAAACAUGUUAUUGCAGAAAUUGCAUAGAUCCCUUCUCUUCUCCCACCACCACCCCCCAGCUCCCUUUCCAUAGAGUUUCAACUCUUUUACAAGACAAUAUGUUCAAUCAAUCAAUCAAUCAAUCAAUCAGUAAAUCCUUUCAUUCUUGAUUUUCCACAAGAAUGGGACGUAAUGCAGUCUACACAAUAUAAAGAAAUACAAGUAAAGAGAAAUAAAAAGUAGAAUUUGAAUGGGAGAUUGCCAAUGAACCCUAGGUGCUGUAGACUCCAUUUCAGAGGAAGGAACUGGCAAAGGUAUUUGUUGUCUAAAAAAGCCCUAUAAAAUUCCUAGGGUCAUCAUAAGUUGAUGGGUAUCUUGGAGGCACACGCAUACACAGCUGUGUAGUGUUAAAGGAAGCCUAAUAUUCCAUACUCAUUCUGUUAUUUUUGCCAUAUAAAGAUGUUUGUUCAUUUAUUCAGAUUUUUUAAAAAUAAAUUUAUUUCAGGUUUACUUUAAAGAGAAGGCAUUCCUUAGGCACUGUGUGUAAGGAUUCUAAAAUGUUAAUAAUACAAUACAUUACAAUACAAGAUUUUUUUUUAAGAAAUGUUACACUGGAAAGAGAAAAGAUGGUUUGUAUUUUAAGGAUAAAAUGACCAGUAUUGCCUUUUUGCUGACAUGCUUGUUUUCAAUUUCAAUGGAGAGAAUAGUUGAACCAUUAAAAAAAACAUGAGUAAGAAGAACAUCUCUCUCAG
RNAcentral lists this long non-coding RNA (2228 nucleotides) under Anolis carolinensis (green anole). RNAcentral's name for it is "lncRNA (ENSACAG00000036909.1)". The record is from RNAcentral. Lineage: Eukaryota; Metazoa; Chordata; Lepidosauria; Squamata; Anolidae.